This 391-nucleotide ribosomal RNA is filed under the name uncultured bacterium. RNAcentral's name for it is "partial 16S ribosomal RNA". It matches the Rfam family "Bacterial small subunit ribosomal RNA", at positions 523 to 918 of the family's 1533-position model. The record is from RNAcentral.
ACACGUAGGGGCCUGACGUUGUUCGGAAUCAUUGGGCGUAAAGGGCGCGCAGGCGGCCGUCCAAGUCCGGUGUUAAAUGGUCGGGCUCAACCCGAUCAUGCGCUGGAAACUGGGCGGCUGGAGUCCCGGAGGGGAUGCCGGAAUUCCAGGUGUAGGGGUGAAAUCUGUAGAUAUCUGGAAGAACACCGAUGGCGAAGGCAGGCAUCUGGCCGGAGACUGACGCUGAGGCGCGAAGGCGCGGGGAGCGAACAGGUUAGAUACCCUGGUAGUCCGCGCAGUAAACGAUGCGCACCAGGUGUCGGGCGGCAGCGCCCGGUACCGGAGCAAACGCGGUGAGUGCGCCGCCUGGGGAGUAUGCCCGCAAGGGUGAAACUCAAAGGAAUUGGCGGGG